Melospiza melodia melodia is the source of this 5744-nucleotide RNA transcript. It is a transcript of the gene named zinc finger protein OZF-like, with no coding region annotated. NCBI's taxonomy places the organism in Eukaryota, Metazoa, Chordata, Aves, Passeriformes, Passerellidae. The record is from RefSeq and is a predicted model, not a curated record. The transcript has 5 exons.
CCACCAGUGGUGCUGCUUUGCACUCCUUAGGCAGGAGCCGAUGUCCUGGCUGGGUGUUGGCAGCAGCAAAGUGCCAGGGCAGGCUCUGUGCCAGCCCAGCUUGCUGUGGGAGAGAUUUCACAAGUGACAGGAUUCUGGCCACAGACUGCCUUAAAUGUACAUCCCUCAUCUCCACCCUGCACUAGGUGGAGAAUUACCAGGGUAAGGAAUUCCAGACAUGAAUUGCAAGGUAGAUAAUUGAAUAUCUGCCCUGAGUCUGUCUCUUAUUCUUGCCAGAGCCAAUGGCAAAAGCUGUACCCAUGGCAUCUUGGUUUCUGUUUCUAGCUUCAAAAGGCGUUUCUUUAUUUCUUCACUCGUUUUUUUUUUCUACCUGACCUGAGCUCUGGGGGUGCCAGGAGGGAUGGAGGUUCCAUUGUAUUCCUAAACCAGUCAUAACCCCUUGGAGAGUUUUUCCUGUAAAAUUAGUUCCUCUGAGUCUAUUGCAUCCAUGAUCCCAUCUUCAAAUUACUUGUUCCAAAAAUACUUAUAUAACUGAUCCUGUAGUUGCUGAAGCACUUGGAAAUGCUUCUGGCCACCCUGUUAGCUGACAUGCUGCUACCAGAAGAUAUUUAAGCCUUCCCACUUGGGACAGUCUGGUGAAAUCCACCUGCCAACUUUGGAAGGGACAUAGGACAAGGCCCAAGACCUCCCUCCUCUGGCAAGUUUCUUUUUAACUUGGUGUUGUAAGAAACAACUACUCACUUUGAAAAUUUAAAAGGUUUAUUAAACCUUGACAAAAAUACAACAAAAGGACUGCAUAAGGAAAAAUUUGCAGCACUGGGAACUACCCUGGUGGAUACCCCAUGGCCAGUUCAUCUUCAAGAUGAUUGCUCAGUCUUUUAUACCCCUGGCCCUUCCCAAAGUCUGUCAGGCAGCUCUUCUGUGCCAUUUAUUGGUGGAGAUGCUUUCUUGUAAGGGGAUUGGAGGUCAGGUGUUGCCAUGCCCACCCCCUGAGCACCAAGCUUCCAUUCCAACUGUCCUGUGCAAGGCAGGUGUGCACCCCUUCUUUGUACCUGUCUUAGACAGCAAUACAGAGGGGGGAGAGGGAUCUAUGGGGAGAACAGAGGACAUCUAAACUAGAAUAACAUAACUAUACAUCACUAUAGCUUUUCUUAAUAUUCACACAAUAGUCAUCCCUUAAUUGCGAGAGCCAAUCAUCUCAUUAUCUACCUAUAGCAGUGUCUAGGGGAUGGUUUUUUGUCUCAUAUAGUUUUUGGGGUUCAUUGUUUUGUUUUUUGUCUGGGAUGGUUGCUGUUUCGGGAGUAUUGCAAUGAGUGGGAGCCAGGUUGGGGUUUGCAGAGAGAGUCUGGGGCAGGGUGUGGGGCAGCUCCUUUCCUUCCAGCCAGCUGUUGGAGUGGCCACACUGCUGGUGUUUCUGACCGGGGAUCCUGCUGCUUCCGUGGGUUCUGUCUGUUUCUUUUUGUUUCUUUUCCUUUGGCACUGUGACUGUGCUUGCUGGCUUGCUUCUCUGCUGCUUGGGAGCCCAGAGCCGGUGCGUGCCGUGCCAGGAGUGGGAGCGCCCCGUUCCGCACCAGGGGCUGCCUCCUCUGCACGAAUCCAGAGCCCAGGACCAGGCACUGCCGGAUUUCUCAUUCUCAAAGCUUGGUCAGAUGGAGAAGGAGGCUGCGAGGAAGAUGCUCUGGGACACCCAGGCAGAAUAGGAGCGGAGGAUGGAGGCCAGGGAGGACAAAUCCCCGCAGCAGGACCUUGUGGAAGAGGCUGUUUUGAGCGAUUCCAUAGUGCAGGAAUCCAACGGGAAGGAAAAGCCCCAGAGAUCCCGCACAAGGAGGGGCUGCAAACCCAGCCCUGGCAUCUGUGAGGAGGAAAGACCUGCCCUGUGCCAGGAGGGUGGACAGAGCUUCAGCCAGAGCUCAGACAUGGUGGUCACUGAGCACCAUCGAAGCAGGGAGAAGUCAUACAAGUGUGGGGAAUGUGAGAGGAGCUUCAGCCACAUCUCCAACCUGAAGAAACACCAGAGGAUCCACACUGGGGAGAAGCCCUACAAGUGUAGGGAAUGUGGGAAGAGCUUCAGCCGUAGCAACAACCUGGCCCGUCAUGAGAAUACUCAUGAUAAUGAAAGGCCUUGCAAGCGCUCUGAACGUGGGAAGAGCUUUAGAGAGACAUCCAAACUAAACCAGCACAAGAUAAAUUGCUCUGGGGAACAGCCCUAUGUGUGUGAGGAAUGUGGGAAGAACUUCAGCCGGAACUCCAACCUGGUCCGCCACAAGAGGAUCCACACUGAGGAGAGGCCCCACAAAUGUCCCAAAUGUGGGAAGAGCUUCAGCCAGAGCACCCACUUGGAUGUCCACCAGUGCAUUGACACCAGGGAACAGCCCAACAACUGUGAGAAAUGUGGGAAGAGCUUCAGGAAGAUUCACAACCACCUGUGUUUGGAAAUCAGGAUAUGUGACAGCUACAAGUGCUGGACAUGUGGCAAGAGCUUCAACAAGAGGUCCCACCUAAUAGUCCACAUGCGCACCCACACUGGGCAACAGCCCUACAGGUGUGAGCAGUGUGGGAAGAGCUUCAGAGAUCGCUCCAACCUGAACCACCACCGGCGGACCCACACUGGGGCACGGCCCUACCUGUGUGAGCAGUGUGGGAAGAGCUUCCCCAGGGGCUCUCACUUGUCCCAGCACCGACAGAGGCACUGCCACGGUGGGCGAAGGCAGAGGCAGAAUCCAAAGGCUGAUGUCACCUUUGUAGCUGAAAGCUGAGACCUUCUUUCAACCUUUAAAAUAUGAAUUAGGAAAACACUGGGUGAUGCAUCACUCACCCUAUUUGUCAAAUGCUUCUAAGAAGGAUCUGUUGGAAUUUUGCAAAGUGUGGAGAAUAACAGAUAGUUGAGGAUGGUUUACUGAAUUAAAUUUUAAAAAUACCUUCUGCAUCCCUGUGAAUAAGAAAGGCCAAGGACUGAGCGAAGGAAAGAAUGUAAAAAUAUGGACUAAUUCUGAAUAUGCAUUUAAUGUUUUCGGUGAGGUCAUCUGGAAAGAGAGAGGACUGGCAACUGUUCAAGGCCUGGAAUUGAACACACUGAACAGACCCAUCCACUGCUAGAGAGUAUUAAGGAGUCUGGAGAAGCAGCCUUUAUACAUUGCAAGAUUCAUCAAAAUGGGGAAGCAACUCUUGAGUUAGAGAAUCUUUUUGUUGACAAAAUAGUAAAAGAAGCAAGAAAAAGGAUCUUAACAGUGGUGCUACAGAAGGAAAUCAGUUUGACAUGGUUUGCCCCAAAAUGUGAUCAACAGAGCCAUCAGUUUUCUGGCACAAAGGUUGAAAUCAAGGAAAGUGAACGGACUGUUACACCAGAGGGACAGACUGUAGUCCCACCUCAGCAAGAACAUAAAAACACUUGCAGGGGAACAAGAAACCUUUUGAAACAUUAAGAAAGCAGUAACAGAAAGGGAAAAAACUGAUAUUGUACAAUCCGUAACAAAUGUGAAAUCUUCUCUAGAACCCACCCAAACAUGAGCAAAAGAGUUGUGUUAGAAAUAACAGAGGCUGGGGAUUCUCCUGGACAUUGUUGGCGAAUAAAUUCUACUGAGUUACACCCAAAAAGGAUACAGAGCCAUUUGAAGCUGCUCCAGAGCGGGACCUGGGGAAUCACCCAGAGCUCAGAUUCUGCAGCCUUUGCCAGCACCAGAGGGACCGAGAACGGAGCGACACACCAGAGACGCUUUCUGAAUUUGUCAUCUCUUCAGAGCAGCGAGUGUUGUCAUCUGGUAUUGUUCAUCCUGUGAGCUGGGGAGUGCUUUACCUAUUAAAUAAACAGGGUUUUUUCCACUUCUCUCUGAAGAAAUUCGUCCCGAACUGAUUGAAGAAGAGAGGCUGUGUAGGUUGGCUUUCUGGAGGGGCCCCUUUUGGAGGCUUUCUCCCAGAUUUGUCCUAAACCAAGACCAGAGACGGGGAAGGCUUAGAAGACCAUGGGGGGAAUUGCAUCACCACUUUCACUCUUAAUUGGUGAUUUUUGUCAACAAUGCUAAUCUGCUAAACUUGCAAAACUGUAUUCAUCCUUUGUGGUGGGUGUGGGCAUUUUGUGGACAUUUUUCAUAUCUACUCCUGGAGGUCUCCAAUAAAGACCAGCUUUUAUAUUACCUCCUAUACAAAUACUAUCUCCAAAAGGUGUUGCUUUAUUUCUCGGUUCUUUAAGGCCUCACAGAGUGACAUAAUGACAUCUUGGGGAACCGAGUGUCACCUGCAAACACAACAGGGCUUCAUGGAACCUAGGUGCCACUUGAAUAGUGCCCGGGCACUUGGAAUUCAGUGUCCAUUGUGACAUAGCACAGCCACAUGGAACUCAGCAGAACAUUGUGACAGCAUGGAAUCUCAUGGAACUAAAGCUGUGCUUUGACAAAGUGGGGCCUCCUGGGACACAGGUGCCACUGGGGUGUUGCCAACGCUGGUACAACCCAGUGCCCAUUGUGACACAGCGCAGCCUCAUGGAGCUGUCUUGGGGAUGGUUCAUACCUCAUAACCAUUUGGGGGUUUCUUUGUUUUGUGUUCAUAAUGGUCACUGCCUCCCCUCCCCAGCUCUGAGAAUAUCGCAAUGGGUGGAGGGGCAGCCUGGGAUCCUGUGGGGGCUGGGCUGAUCCAGAGGCUGCUCUUCCUUCAGGCUGGGGUGAUCAGCUCAGCAGCCAUGCAGCACAGUGCAUCUCAUUUGAGACACUGUUGCCCUGCAGUUUUGACCUUUUGCUUUUUUCCUCGUUUUCUUUUUUCUCCUUUGGCACUGUGACUAGGGUUGCCAGCUUGCUUCUCUGCUGCUCUGCCACUUGAGAGCCCAGGGCUGGUGUGCUGGGAGCUGGGAGCACCCCUUCAACUACCAGGCUGCUCCCUUUGCGUGGUGACCCAGCCUCAGGUCCGGACAUCACCAGUGAGCCAUGCAAAGGAGAAAUCUCCCACCCAGCCGCUGCUGUUUUCUGCCACUGCUUAAUUAAGGUUUUUUUGCUACACUAUAGUGCAACACCUUGCAUCCAUCAGGACAGCCCGCUGCUUCUGCUUCUGCCACCGCUCCAGGGUUAGUGCUACACUUUCAUUCACCGCCCCCGGGGAUCUGCUCCCCUCUGUUCCAGCUGACACUCCGAGGUUCCUGCUGCCGUCCAUUUGCCCCUGCAGUGGCGCUGAGGCCGGCUGCUCACCGUGGCUCUGGCGAAAGGAGCCCCUUUCUCCCCCUGCCGCCCCCACAGCCGCCAUGGCCGGGUCAGAGGCCGCUGAGCUCGCACCACAGCGCCCCCUGCAGCCGCGGAACGGGCAUCGCCCCGCCCUGCCUGCCUGCCUGCCGGGGAGCUGCCAGCGCCCCUGCUGGCUGUGCCCGGAACUGCACCCAUGGCGAGGUCCUUGACAGCCCCUGCCCUGCCCUGCCUACUGGGGACCCACCAGCGCCCCUGCUGGCCGUGCCCAGAACUGCACCCAUGGCGAGGUCCUUGACAGCCCCUGCCCUGCCCUGCCUGCUGGGGAGCCACCAGCGCCGCUGCUGGCCAUGCCCAGAACUGCACCCAUGGGGAGGACCUUGACAGCCCCUGCCCUGCCUGCCAGGGAGCCACCAGCGCCACUGCUGGCCGUGCCCGGAACUGCACCCAUGGGGAGGUCCUUCACAGCUGAGUGAGGGCUGCCUCUGGGAUUCUGGUUUUAAUAUUGUUGCUGCUGGUUUUGUUUUUUUGUCUUGUUAUGUAUUUAUCUAUUAGUAAAAAAUUGUUAUUCCUUUUCCUAUA